Molecule: transfer RNA, 72 nt
Filed under: Stenocercus boettgeri
Lineage: Eukaryota; Metazoa; Chordata; Lepidosauria; Squamata; Tropiduridae
Description: tRNA-Ile
Source: RNAcentral
GGAAGCGUGCCCGAGUUAUUAAGGACUACUUUGAUAGAGUAAACCACAGAGGCUCAAACCCUCUCACUUCCU